GUAGGUGGCAAGCGUUGUCCGGAAUUAUUGGGCGUAAAGCGCGCGCAGGCGGUCCUUUAAGUCUGAUGUGAAAGCCCACGGCUCAACCGUGGAGGGUCAUUGGAAACUGGGGGGCUUGAGUACAGAAGAGGAAAGCGGAAUUCCAAGUGUAGCGGUGAAAUGCGUAGAGAUUUGGAGGAACACCAGUGGCGAAGGCGGCUUUCUGGUCUGUAACUGACGCUGAGGCGCGAAAGCGUGGGGAGCAAACAGGAUUAGAUACCCUGGUAGUCCACGCCGUAAACGAUGAGUGCUAAGUGUUAGGGGGUUUCCCGCCCCCCUUAGUGCUGCAGCUAACGCAUUAAGCACUCCGCCUGGGGGAGUACGGCCCGCAAGGCUG
This 376-nucleotide ribosomal RNA is filed under the name uncultured organism. Its description in RNAcentral is "partial 16S ribosomal RNA". It matches the Rfam family "Bacterial small subunit ribosomal RNA", at positions 527 to 896 of the family's 1533-position model. The record is from RNAcentral.